This 250-nucleotide ribosomal RNA is filed under the name uncultured bacterium. RNAcentral describes it as "partial 16S ribosomal RNA". It matches the Rfam family "Bacterial small subunit ribosomal RNA", at positions 90 to 339 of the family's 1533-position model. The record is from RNAcentral.
GUCGAGCGGCGGACGGGUGAGUAACGCGUAGGAAUUUACCCAACAGAGGGGGAUAGCCCGGGGAAACCCGGAUUAAUACCGCAUACACUCUACGGAGGAAAGCAGGGGAUUCAUUUAUGAACCUUGCGCUGUUGGAUGAGCCUGCGUGAGAUUAGCUAGUUGGUGAGGUAAAGGCUCACCAAGGCGACGAUCUCUAGCUGGUCUGAGAGGAUGAUCAGCCACACUGGGACUGAGACACGGCCCAGACUCC